Molecule: ribosomal RNA, 492 nt
Filed under: uncultured bacterium
Lineage: Bacteria
Description: partial 16S ribosomal RNA
Rfam family: Bacterial small subunit ribosomal RNA
Source: RNAcentral
AGUGAACGCUGGCGGUAGGCCUAACACAUGCAAGUCGAACGGCAGCACAGUAAGAGCUUGCUCUUACGGGUGGCGAGUGGCGGACGGGUGAGGAAUACAUCGGAAUCUACUUUUUCGUGGGGGAUAACGUAGGGAAACUUACGCUAAUACCGCAUACGACCUACGGGUGAAAGCAGGGGAUCUUCGGACCUUGCGCGAUUGAAUGAGCCGAUGUCGGAUUAGCUAGUUGGCGGGGUAAAGGCCCACCAAGGCGACGAUCCGUAGCUGGUCUGAGAGGAUGAUCAGCCACACUGGAACUGAGACACGGUCCAGACUCCUACGGGAGGCAGCAGUGGGGAAUAUUGGACAAUGGGCGCAAGCCUGAUCCAGCCAUACCGCGUGGGUGAAGAAGGCCUUCGGGUUGGAAAGCCCCUUUGUUGGGAAAGAAAAGCAGCAGGUUAAUACCCCGCUGUUCUGACGGUACCCAAAGAAUAAGCACCGGCUAACUUCGUG